AACGGCCGCGGUAUAUUGACCGUGCAAAGGUAGCAUAAUCAUUAGUCUUUUAAUAGGAGGCUGGAAUGAAAGGUUUAACGAAUCAUUAGCUGUCUCAUUUUUAUAAUUUAAAAUUUAAUUUUUAAGUUAAAAGGCUUAAAUUUUAUUGGUGGACGAGAAGACCCUAUAGAGCUUUAUAUUUUACUAUAUUAUGAUUUUUUGAUUUAUAUAUUGUUUUAAUAUUAGUAAUUUAUUUUGUUGGGGUGAUAAAAAUACAUAAGAAACUUUUUUAUUUUAAUUUCAUUUAUUUAUGAAUUAUUGAUCCAAUAUUAUUGAUUAUUAGAUUAAGUUACCUUAGGGAUAACAGCGUAAUUCUCCUUUGGAGUUCUUAUUUACAGGAGAGCUUGCGACCUCGAUGUUGGAUUAAGAUUAUUUUUUGGUGUAGCAGCUAUAAAAAUGGGUCUGUUCGAC
RNAcentral lists this ribosomal RNA (450 nucleotides) under Nososticta solida. RNAcentral describes it as "partial 16S ribosomal RNA". It matches the Rfam family "Bacterial large subunit ribosomal RNA", at positions 1926 to 2585 of the family's 2925-position model. Lineage: Eukaryota; Metazoa; Arthropoda; Insecta; Odonata; Platycnemididae. The record is from RNAcentral.